UUAUUACAUUGGCUUUCUCUCAAAGGCUGCUCUGCAGGAGAGUGUUGAUGCUUUUAUCAACUGUGUUGUGAAAAACAUAGGAUUCAGCUAGGGAAAGCACGUUGCCUGUUUGAUCAGAAUAUGGAAGGACCAGUCACAUAUACAAUUGUUAUACUUUCGAUGAGAAUACUCCACUUGUUGAUGUCCAUAGUACAUCUCUGCAUUGGGUGAAACAAUAUUCAAGGGACUGCAAAGCGGAGAUAAGGAUGUGGUCUGGCUAAUGCAGGUAAAAGGAAGGAUUUAAUUGAGUCUUACUAUUUAACUCUGAGUAUCUCUUUUAAGAGAAUGUAGCUAGUUACAUUGACAUCCCAUUUGUAAAUAGUAACCAUGCCUUCUUAUUUAUGUUUCUCUAGAUAUUAGCACACGAUACUUGCGCCAUUUUCAUUUUAGUGCAAGAAGCAUGCAUACUAUGGAAUAGUUUUUAUACCCUCAUAUAUUGUUUGUGCAUUAGUCCCUAAGCAUGCAUACUCUGAAAUCAUAGUGAUUAUUUCUAGCCAAGUAAGCUGAU
Molecule: long non-coding RNA, 547 nt
Organism: Rosa rugosa (rugosa rose)
Lineage: Eukaryota; Viridiplantae; Streptophyta; Magnoliopsida; Rosales; Rosaceae
Exons: 3
Source: RefSeq, a predicted model, not a curated record